GCAGACGAGGCCUACUUCAUAGUCAAAGAGAUUCUCGCUACAGAACGAACAUACCUCAAGGAUUUAGAAGUUAUUACCGUGUGGUUCCGUAGCGCAGUGGUGAAGGAGGACGCCAUGCCUGUGACUCUGAUGACGCUGCUCUUCUCCAACAUCGAUCCCAUCUAUGAGUUCCACAGAGGCUUCCUGCGCGAGGUGGAGCAGAGGCUGGCACUCUGGUAACACCCCUUCAGCCCCCACACGGGAGACUCCCACACCAACUCAUCAUCACCGCU
RNAcentral lists this small RNA (272 nucleotides) under Pan troglodytes (chimpanzee). Its description in RNAcentral is "retained intron". Lineage: Eukaryota; Metazoa; Chordata; Mammalia; Primates; Hominidae. The record is from RNAcentral.